UACAGAGGUCUCAAGCGUUGUUCGGAUUCAUUGGGCGUAAAGGGUGCGUAGGCGGCCUGGCGCGUCGGCUGUGAAAUCUCCCGGCUCAACUGGGAGGGGACGGCCGAUACGGCUGGGCUUGAGCGAGGUAGGGGAGAGUGGAAUUCCCGGUGUAGUGGUGGAAUGCGCAGAUAUCAGGAGGAACACCGGUGGCGAAGGCGCCACUCUGGGCCGGUACUGACGCUGAGGAGCGAAAGCGUGGGUAGCAAACAGG
Molecule: ribosomal RNA, 253 nt
Filed under: uncultured bacterium
Lineage: Bacteria
Description: partial 16S ribosomal RNA
Rfam family: Bacterial small subunit ribosomal RNA
Source: RNAcentral